This is an RNA transcript of Populus euphratica (Euphrates poplar), 2771 nucleotides long. It is a transcript of the gene named Transducin/WD40 repeat-like superfamily protein, with no coding region annotated. The transcript is spliced from 10 exons. The record is from RefSeq and is a predicted model, not a curated record. Lineage: Eukaryota; Viridiplantae; Streptophyta; Magnoliopsida; Malpighiales; Salicaceae.
AUAUGCGUGUAUAUCGCCACCGGCACGACAUCCUGCGUCUAACCAAACCCUAUAAAUCAUCCACGAAAGCGGAAAUAAGAAAUCUCCGGAAAAACCACGACUAUAGGAUUAAAGAAAAGAGAUGGAAGAGGAGGAAGCAGAAAUAUACGACGGAGUUAGAGCACAGUUCCCUCUAACAUUCGGCAAACAAUCAAAAUCUCAAACACCUCUCGAACAAAUCCAUAACACCACUAUCCGAAAAGCACCACCCACCUCCGCCGCCAACGCCGAAACCCAAUCCUCUCUUUCCUCUUCUUCUAAAGCCUGGCUCGAUUCUCUCCGUCCCACACCUAAAUCCUCCUCCAACCCCACCCCUUCACUUGGACCGCCACCACCGCGGCCUACUGGUUCCAAUUCAUUCGUUGCCCAUGUUUCGAUUGGACCUCCUCGACCACAAGCUCGGGGUGUAGACGACGACGAUGAUGGGGAAGUUAUGGUGGGGCCUCCGCGGCCUCCGCCGGGACUGGCUGCUGCUAAUGAUGAGGAGGAGGAUGGUGUGAUGAUCGGACCACUUCGUCCGCCGGAACCAGCGGAUUCGGAUGAGGAGGAUUUUCUGUAUCGGAUUCCAACGAGUAAUGAGAUUGUACUUGGAGGCCACUCUAAGGUUGUUUCAGCUCUUGCUGUAGAUCAUACUGGGUCUAGAGUUCUUUCUGGUAGUUACGACUAUACAGUUAGAAUGUACGAUUUUCAAGGGAUGAAUUCGCGUUUACAAUCAUUUAGGCAGCUCGAACCAUUUGAAGGCCAUCAAGUUCGUAAUUUGAGCUGGAGUCCUUCCGCAGACCGGUUUUUAUGCGUCACUGGUUCUGCUCAAGCUAAGAUAUUUGACCGUGAUGGGCUUACACUAGGUGAGUUUGUCAAGGGGGAUAUGUAUAUUCGUGACUUGAAGAAUACAAAAGGUCACAUUUCUGGACUGACUUGCGGGGAGUGGCAUCCUCAAGCCAAGGAGACAAUUCUAACAUCAUCAGAGGACGGUUCACUACGUAUAUGGGAUGUGAAUGAUUUCAAAAGUCAAAAGCAGGUCAUUAAACCAAAGCUUGCUCGGCCUGGAAGAGUUCCAGUUACCACAUGUGCUUGGGAUCGUGAAGGAAAACGUGUUGCUGGUGGCAUUGGAGAUGGUUCUAUACAGAUAUGGAGCCUUAAGCCUGGAUGGGGAAGUAGGCCAGAUGUUUUUGUUGAGAAGGGUCAUUCAGAUGACAUCACUUGCCUCAAAUUUUCAAGUGAUGGACAAAUUUUACUCUCAAGAAGCUCUGAUUGUUCACUGAAGGUUUGGGAUUUGCGGCAAAUGAAAGAGGCCCUUAAAGUCUUUGAGAAUCUUCCAAAUAACUAUGCUCAAACAAAUAUUGCAUUUAGUCCUGAUGAGCAGCUAUUCUUGACUGGAACAUCUUUUGAAAGGGAGAGCAAAACUGGAGGUGUAUUGUGCUUUUACAACCGGGCAAAACUUGAACUUGUUUCAAGAGUUGGUAUUUCUCUAACUAGCAGUGUUGUGCAAUGUGCUUGGCAUCCAAAGCUAAAUCAGAUCUUUGCAACAGCUGGAGAUAAAAGCCAAGGAGGAACCCACGUACUAUAUGAUCCAACCCUCAGUGAGAGAGGAGCUCUUGUAUGUGUUGCAUCUGCACCUCGGAAAAAAUCUUUGGAUGAUUUUGAGGUGCAGCCCGUCAUUCACAACCCUCACGCACUACCCUUGUUUAGAGAUCAGCCAAGCCGAAAGCGUCAGCGAGAGAAAACAUUGAAGGAUCCCCUUAAGUCCCACAAACCUGAACUUCCAAUGACAGGACCAGGUUUUGGUGGAAGAGUUGGUGCUAGUAAAGGAAGCUUAUUGACUCAAUAUCUUCUUAAGCAAGGGGGAAUGAUCAAGGAGACAUGGAUGGAGGAAGACCCACGAGAAGCUAUAUUGAAGUAUGCUGAUGCUGCAGAAAAAGAUCCCAAAUACAUUGCUCCAGCAUAUGCGCAAACCCAGCCUGACCCAGUUUUUGCGAAGUCGGAUUCCGAGGAUGAAGAAAAAUGAUCCAACUAUGAUGGUCGGUCUGCCUCUACAUUAACCUCAAUUUUAUUUCAGAAGCUGAAACAUUGAAGUGAACAUCAAUGAAUAUGUAGAGCUAAACAUCACCAAUUCACGGUUGAUGGCUCCAAAAGCCUUUUGUCAGUAACAGCAGCAACCGAGGCCAUCAUCCUGCAUUGCUUAGAUUAUCUUAGUUACCAUCUCGAAAGAUUGCUCCGGGACUUGGAAACGAUCAAGUUAGGAGCUCUCAUGCUCAAAGCUCGACAAGCGGGAGCCUGAAAGCACGGCAAACAGUUGUCUACGAAAUGCUGCAAAACCCAAAAACCAUUGAAAGCCAAUUCGAAAAUCAAGACUGCAAAUCAGCUUGUGAAAAGAAGUAUGAACGAAAGUGGACUUUCAAGGGAAUGAAAGUCUCCUUAAUAAAUGCUCGGUCCCUCAAGGGGGAGAGAGAGAGGAAACAGUAAAAACAUUUGAAAAGUACCAUGCUUAAAGAAGUACAUGUUCUCAAAUCAUGAGAAAGUCUUAAUGAAGGAAGUGAUGCAUGGACAAGAUUAGAGGUUUUUAUCUUCGAGUCAGCAGGUUCGUGCUUUAUCUAUUUUCUUCUCGUGACUAGCCUCCAAUAUCCUAUUUUAUUUGUCUGAUUAACUCGAGUUACUACCACGAAAGAUUAGAUAAAGCACGUUUCAUAAAAAAUGUUCAAUGUCAGAGGAAUCCUGAACUUCUUAUUGACUUU